CAGGCCUAACACAUGCAAGUCGAACGGGGUCUUCGGACCCAGUGGCGAACGGCGGAGUAAUACAUAAGCAACGUGCCCUAAAGACUGGGAUAAUCAUUGGAAACGAUGGGUAAUACCAGAUGUGGUCUUCUCUUGGCAUCUUGAGAAGAUUAAACGGUUUUUCGCUUUAGGAGCGGCUUAUGGCCUAUCAGGUAGUUGGUGGGGUAACAGCCUACCAAGCCGACGACGGGUAGCGGGUCUGAGAGGAUGAUCCGUUCGAGUGGGACUGAGACACGGCCCACACACCUACGGGUGGCAGCAGUUGGGAAUCUUGCACAAUGGGGGAAACCCUGAUGCAGCGACGCCGCGUGGAGGAUGAAGGGUCCAGGCCUGUAAACUCCUUUUGACGGGAAGGACUUAGGACGGUACCCGUUGAAUAAGGACCGGCUAACUACGUGCCAGCAGCCGCGGUAAGACGUAGGGUCCAAGCGUUGUCCGGAUUUACUGGGCGUAAAGAGCGCGUAGGCGGUCUGUUAAGUGUGAAGUGAAAUCUCCAGGGCUCAACCCGGAAACUGCUUCGCAUACUGGCAGACUGGAGGGAUGCAGAGGUUUGUGGAAUUCCUGGUGUAGCGGUGAUAUGCAUAGAUAUCAGGAGGAACACCCAUGGCGAAGGCAGCAAACUGGGCAUCAUCUGACGCUGAGGCGCGAAAGCGUGGGUAGCAAACAGGAUUAGAUACCCUGGUAGUCCACGCCCUAAACGAUGGAUACUAG
Molecule: ribosomal RNA, 750 nt
Filed under: uncultured bacterium
Lineage: Bacteria
Description: bacterial SSU rRNA
Rfam family: Bacterial small subunit ribosomal RNA
Source: RNAcentral